Molecule: unclassified non-coding RNA, 329 nt
Filed under: soil metagenome
Description: partial contains 5.8S ribosomal RNA, internal transcribed spacer 2, and large subunit ribosomal RNA
Rfam family: 5.8S ribosomal RNA (bases 1-120)
Source: RNAcentral
GAUGAAGAACGGAGCGAAAUGCGAUAAGUAAUGUGAAUUGCAGAAUUCAGUGAAUCAUCGAAUCUUUGAACGCACAUUGCGCCCUCUGGUAUUCCGGGGGGCAUGCCUGUUCGAGCGUCAUUAUAACCACUCAAGCUCUCGCUUGGUAUUGGGGUUCGCGGUUUCGCGGCCCCUAAAAUCAGUGGCGGUGCCUGUCGGCUCUACGCGUAGUAAUACUUCUCGCGAUUGAGUUCGAUAGGUCUACUUGCCAGUAACCCCCAAUUUUUACAGGUUGACCUCGGAUCAGGUAGGGAUACCCGCUGAACUUAAGCAUAUCAAUAAGCGGAGGA